This is a long non-coding RNA of Tachysurus fulvidraco (yellow catfish), 346 nucleotides long. RefSeq lists it as uncharacterized. The transcript has 3 exons. The record is from RefSeq and is a predicted model, not a curated record. NCBI's taxonomy places the organism in Eukaryota, Metazoa, Chordata, Actinopteri, Siluriformes, Bagridae.
ACGCCGUGACAACAGAUCUAACGGAGAGGUGAAGAACAGACAUUGUGAUCUCAGGGAGGCCCAAAGAACCCGUAGAAGAACGCAGAAAGCUAAGCAGUUCUGCACAAAAGAGAUCUUUUGGAAAUAGGCUGAAAAUCUCCAUCGUCCGUCAGCAGGAGAGAAAGAACGUAAAGACAGGUCGAGUGUAAGGAGAACACGCAACCGGUGUGAUGAGUCAACCAGGGGGUGGAAAAGCAAUGCAGAGGGAUGCAGUUAAAGCUGGUGAGACACACCGCAGCCGAUGGACCAGAAUCAAGCAAACUCUGUGAUAUUCAAAAGAAUCUUGAGAUUUUUUAAAAGGUUUACU